This is a long non-coding RNA of Mercenaria mercenaria, 479 nucleotides long. RefSeq lists it as uncharacterized. The transcript is spliced from 3 exons. The record is from RefSeq and is a predicted model, not a curated record. NCBI's taxonomy places the organism in Eukaryota, Metazoa, Mollusca, Bivalvia, Venerida, Veneridae.
GUUACCAACACCCCCUAGACCAGAGCAAACUAUCGAGUCGUGUGGACAGAAGCUGCAGUUUCCAGCGUAGCACUGUAUAGUAGCUGCUCUUAUUGCCGAUCCAGCUGUCGUGGUCGAAGUUCGGGUUUCUUUGGGCAGCCCCUAUCCAGCUGGUCUUCAUUUACAGCUGAACUACAUCCAGGAUCGGUUGCAGCCUUAGAAGGAAGAAGGACUAUAUUCCUGUGCGGAUGGAUUAAAAAACUACUCCAGACUGGUAGACAUGACAGAUGUGUAUUGGAAAUAUAAACAUGGACUUAAAACUUUGAUGUGUAGCAAAAAAGUUCAUCGUUGAUGAUAGUGAUUUUCUAAGCUAUAUUGACUGGAACAGGGUCAUUCUUCAGAAAUACAGAGCUGUCAAUGCUGCCAUUUUGUUGUGAAAGUCACAAUCCAUGUCAGAAGUUGCCUGUUUUACUAUACAGCAAAGAAGAAGAAAUUGUACU